CCUACGGGAGGCAGCAGUGGGGAAUAUUGCACAAUGGGGGAAACCCUGAUGCAGCGACGCCGCGUGAGUGAAGAAGUAUUUCGGUAUGUAAAGCUCUGUCAGCAGGGAAGAAAAUGACGGUACCUGACCAAGAAGCCCCGGCUAACUACGUGCCAGCAGCCGCGGUAAUACGUAGGGGGCAAGCGUUAUCCGGAUUUACUGGGUGUAAAGGGUGCGUAGACGGCAGGGCAAGUCUGGAGGGAAAGGCGGGGGCUCAACCCCCGGACUGCUCUGGAAACUGCCAGGCUAGAGUGCAGGAGAGGUAAGUGGAAUUCCUAGUGUAGCGGUGAAAUGCGUAGAUAUUAGGAGGAACACCAGUGGCGAAGGCGACUUUCUGGACAGUAACUGACGUUGAGGCACGAAAGUGUGGGGAGCAAACAGGAUUAGAUACCCGAGUAGUC
Molecule: ribosomal RNA, 440 nt
Filed under: uncultured bacterium
Lineage: Bacteria
Description: partial 16S ribosomal RNA
Rfam family: Bacterial small subunit ribosomal RNA
Source: RNAcentral